CUACGGGAGGCAGCAGUGAGGAAUAUUGCACAAUGGGGGGAACCCUGAUGCAGCAACGCCGCGUGGAGGAUGACGCAUUUCGGUGUGUAAACUCCUUUUAUAUGUCAAGAAAAUGACGGUAGCAUAUGAAUAAGCACCGGCUAACUCCGUGCCAGCAGCCGCGGUAAUAGCGGAGGGUGCAAGCGUUACUCGGAAUCACUGGGCGUAAAGGACGCGUAGGCGGGUUGGAAAGUCAGGUGUGAAAUCCUACAGCUUAACUGUAGAACUGCACUUGAAACUUCUAAUCUAGAGUAUGGGAGGGGGAGAUGGAAUUAGUGGUGUAGGGGUAAAAUCCGUAGAUAUCACUAGGAAUACCUAAAGCGAAGGCGAUCUCCUGGAACAUUACUGACGCUAAGGCGUGAAAGCGUGGGGAGCAAACAGGAUUAGAUACCCGAGUAGUC
RNAcentral lists this ribosomal RNA (440 nucleotides) under uncultured bacterium. Its description in RNAcentral is "partial 16S ribosomal RNA". It matches the Rfam family "Bacterial small subunit ribosomal RNA", at positions 339 to 795 of the family's 1533-position model. The record is from RNAcentral.